This 484-nucleotide ribosomal RNA is filed under the name uncultured bacterium. RNAcentral describes it as "partial 16S ribosomal RNA". It matches the Rfam family "Bacterial small subunit ribosomal RNA", at positions 28 to 507 of the family's 1533-position model. The record is from RNAcentral.
AUUGAACGCUGGCGGCAUGCUUUACACAUGCAAGUCGAACGGCAGCGCGGGCUUCGGCCUGGCGGCGAGUGGCGAACGGGUGAGUAAUGCAUCGGAACGUGCCCAGUAGUGGGGGAUAGCCCGGCGAAAGCCGGAUUAAUACCGCAUACGACCUGAGGGUGAAAGCGGGGGACCGAAAGGCCUCGCGCUAUUGGAGCGGCCGAUGUCGGAUUAGCUAGUUGGUGGGGUAAAGGCUUACCAAGGCGACGAUCCGUAGCUGGUCUGAGAGGACGACCAGCCACACUGGGACUGAGACACGGCCCAGACUCCUACGGGAGGCAGCAGUGGGGAAUUUUGGACAAUGGGGGCAACCCUGAUCCAGCCAUGCCGCGUGCGGGAAGAAGGCCUUCGGGUUGUAACCCGCUUUUGUUCGGGAAGAAAUCCUCUGGGCUAAUACCCCGGGGGGAUGACGGUACCGGAAGAAUAAGCACCGGCUAACUACGUG